UUUCCGUAGGUGAACCUGCGGAAGGAUCAUUACAGUUGGGGCCCCGCCCCGAUCAAGAUACCACCCCUUGCUUUUUGAGUACCUCUGUUUCCUCGGCGGGCUCGCCCGCCAACGGGGACCACAAAGAAACCUCUUGCAGUUGCAGUAAACGUCAUAAAUCAAAACAAAAAUCAAAACUUUCAACAACGGAUCUCUUGGUUCUGGCAUCGAUGAAGAACGCAGC
Molecule: unclassified non-coding RNA, 223 nt
Filed under: uncultured fungus
Lineage: Eukaryota; Fungi
Description: sequence contains ITS1, 5.8S rRNA gene
Rfam family: 5.8S ribosomal RNA (bases 175-223)
Source: RNAcentral